This 451-nucleotide ribosomal RNA is filed under the name uncultured bacterium. RNAcentral describes it as "bacterial SSU rRNA". It matches the Rfam family "Bacterial small subunit ribosomal RNA", at positions 29 to 524 of the family's 1533-position model. The record is from RNAcentral.
AACGAACGCUGGCGGCAUGCCUAACACAUGCAAGUCGAACGAAGUCUUCGGACUUAGUGGCGCACGGGUGCGUAACGCGUGGGAAUCUGCCCUUGGGUGCGGAAUAACUUCUCGAAAGGGAUGCUAAUACCGCAUAAUGUCGUAAGACCAAAGAUUUAUCGCCCAAGGAUGAGCCCGCGUAAGAUUAGCUAGUUGGUGGGGUAAAAGCCUACCAAGGCGACGAUCUUUAGCUGGUCUGAGAGGAUGAUCAGCCACACUGGGACUGAGACACGGCCCAGACUCCUACGGGAGGCAGCAGUGGGGGAAUAUUGGACAAUGGGCGAAAGCCUGAUCCAGCAAUGCCGCGUGAGUGAUGAAGGCCCUAGGGUUGUAAAGCUCUUUUACCAGGGAUGAUAAUGACAGUACCUGGAGAAUAAGCUCCGGCUAACUCCGUGCCAGCAGCCGCGGUAAU